RNAcentral lists this transfer RNA (82 nucleotides) under Planctomycetales bacterium. Its description in RNAcentral is "tRNA-Leu". It matches the Rfam family "tRNA". From Rfam's summary of the family: Transfer RNA (tRNA) molecules are approximately 80 nucleotides in length. Their secondary structure includes four short double-helical elements and three loops (D, anti-codon, and T loops). The record is from RNAcentral. Lineage: Bacteria; Pseudomonadati; Planctomycetota; Planctomycetia; Planctomycetales.
ACGGGCGUGGUGGAAUUGGCAGACACGCCGGAUUUAGGAUCCGGUGCCUCACGGCUUGGAGGUUCAAGUCCUCUCGCCCGUA